RNAcentral lists this ribosomal RNA (407 nucleotides) under Amycolatopsis keratiniphila. Its description in RNAcentral is "bacterial SSU rRNA". It matches the Rfam family "Bacterial small subunit ribosomal RNA", at positions 353 to 772 of the family's 1533-position model. The record is from RNAcentral. RNAcentral also lists the same sequence under 1 other name. Lineage: Bacteria; Bacillati; Actinomycetota; Actinomycetes; Pseudonocardiales; Pseudonocardiaceae.
AGUGGGGAAUAUUGCACAAUGGGCGCAAGCCUGAUGCAGCGACGCCGCGUGAGGGAUGACGGCCUUCGGGUUGUAAACCUCUUUCGCCAGGGACGAAGCGCAAGUGACGGUACCUGGAUAAGAAGCACCGGCUAACUACGUGCCAGCAGCCGCGGUAAUACGUAGGGUGCGAGCGUUGUCCGGAAUUAUUGGGCGUAAAGAGCUCGUAGGCGGUUUGUCGCGUCGUUCGUGAAAACUCCACGCUUAACGUGGAGCGUGCGGGCGAUACGGGCAGACUUGAGUUCGGUAGGGGAGACUGGAAUUCCUGGUGUAGCGGUGAAAUGCGCAGAUAUCAGGAGGAACACCGGUGGCGAAGGCGGGUCUCUGGGCCGAUACUGACGCUGAGGAGCGAAAGCGUGGGGAGCGAA